AUUGAACGCUGGCGGCAGGCUUAACACAUGCAAGUCGAGCGAGCGGCGGACGGGUGAGUAAUGUCUGGGAAACUGCCUGAUGGAGGGGGAUAACUAAUGGAAACGGUAGCUAAUACCGCAUACCAUCAGAUGUGCCCAGAUGGGAUUAGCUAGUAGGUGGGGUAAUGUCUCACCUAGGCGAAGAUCCGUAGCUGGUCUGAGAGGAUGACCAGCCACACUGGAACUGCGACACGGUCCAGACUCCUACGAGAGGCAGCAGUGGGGAAUGUUGCACAAUGGGCGCAAGUCUGAUGCAGCCAUGCCGCGUGUGUGAAGAAGGCCUUCGGGUUGUAAAGUACUUUCAGCGAGGAGGCGUUACGCGCAGAAGAAGCACCGGCUAACUCCGUGCGAGCAGCGGCGGUAAUUC
RNAcentral lists this ribosomal RNA (406 nucleotides) under uncultured bacterium. RNAcentral describes it as "partial 16S ribosomal RNA". It matches the Rfam family "Bacterial small subunit ribosomal RNA", at positions 30 to 526 of the family's 1533-position model. The record is from RNAcentral.